This 377-nucleotide unclassified non-coding RNA is filed under the name uncultured Chlamydiales bacterium. RNAcentral's name for it is "contains 16S-23S intergenic spacer region". The record is from RNAcentral. Lineage: Bacteria; Pseudomonadati; Chlamydiota; Chlamydiia; Chlamydiales.
UCCUGGUUAACCCAGGCAGUCUCGUUAGAGUUCCCAUCCGAAAUGUUGGCAACUAACGAUAAGGGUUGCGCUCGUUGCGGGACUUAACCCAACACCUCACGGCACGAGCUGACGACAGCCAUGCAGCACCUGUGCAGAGGUCCCGAAGGACGGCACCAUCUCUGGUGCUUGCCUCUGCAUGUCAAGCCUGGGUAAGGUUCUUCGCGUUGCAUCGAAUUAAACCACAUGCUCCACUGCUUGUGCGGGUCCCCGUCAAUUCUUUUGAGUUUCACCCUUGCGGGCGUACUUCCCAGGCGGCAUACUUAACGCGUUCGCUACGGCACAACCGGGGUUGAGUCCGGUUACACCAAGUAUGCAUCGUUUACGGCUAGGACUAC